RNAcentral lists this transfer RNA (35 nucleotides) under Healyella jordanis. Its description in RNAcentral is "partial tRNA-Leu". Lineage: Eukaryota; Metazoa; Annelida; Clitellata; Crassiclitellata; Lumbricidae. The record is from RNAcentral.
GGUAAGUUGGCAGAAUAGUGCCACAGGUUUAAACA